Macadamia integrifolia is the source of this 248-nucleotide long non-coding RNA. RefSeq lists it as uncharacterized. NCBI's taxonomy places the organism in Eukaryota, Viridiplantae, Streptophyta, Magnoliopsida, Proteales, Proteaceae. The record is from RefSeq and is a predicted model, not a curated record. The transcript is spliced from 2 exons.
UUCGUUUAUUUUAUCUUGCAUUUGUUGUCCAAGUUAAUUUCCUGAAAGGUGAUUUCAUCACUAUUAGAUGUCUGUUGGUAUCUGGUAUAAUUACAAUUAAUACAUUAUUUAUUUUUUAAUCCUCUAUAAUGCUUUACAUGUAUAGAAUUGAUUAUUGUCUCUACAUUGCCUGGAUAGAUGGCAGUUGUUGGUUUCCUAACAUCAUGAUAUUUAAGCAUAACAUCCUACCAAAAAAAAAAAAAGAAAAA